This 497-nucleotide ribosomal RNA is filed under the name uncultured bacterium. RNAcentral describes it as "partial 16S ribosomal RNA". It matches the Rfam family "Bacterial small subunit ribosomal RNA", at positions 28 to 507 of the family's 1533-position model. The record is from RNAcentral.
GAUGAACGCUGGCGGCGUGCCUAAUACAUGCAAGUCGAGCGAACGGACGAGAAGCUUGCUUCUCUGAUGUUAGCGGCGGACGGGUGAGUAACACGUGGAUAACCUACCUAUAAGACUGGGAUAACUUCGGGAAACCGUAGCUAAUACCGGAUAAUAUUUUGAACCGCAUGGUUCAAAAGUGAAAGACGGUCUUGCUGUCACUUAUAGAUGGAUCCGCGCUGCAUUAGCUAGUUGGUAAGGUAACGGCUUACCAAGGCAACGAUGCAUAGCCGACCUGAGAGGGUGAUCGGCCACCCUGGAACUGGGACACGGUCCAGACUCCUACGGGAGGCAGCAGUAGGGAAUCUUCCGCAAUGGGCGAAAGCCUGACGGAGCAACGCCGCGUGAGUGAUGAAGGUCUUCGGAUCGUAAAACUCUGUUAUUAGGGAAGAACAUAUGUGUAAGUAACUGUGCACAUCUUGACGGUACCUAAUCAGAAAGCCACGGCUAACUACGUG